Molecule: long non-coding RNA, 2021 nt
Filed under: Zostera marina
Lineage: Eukaryota; Viridiplantae; Streptophyta; Magnoliopsida; Alismatales; Zosteraceae
Description: long non-coding RNA (ZMAR_LNC004749)
Source: RNAcentral
AUUGACACUUUCUCAUUAGCUAUGUAAUUUAGUUAUACAGUAACUAGAUACGUUUUGCUUCAAAAAAAAAACUAGAUACGUUCCCUCAAGAGGUUGGUCUCCCAUACUUUCAUCAUAGAUGUCUCCAAAGGGUGACAACAAAUCUUCUUACAAUACUCCGAAUCAAAGAAGAGACUGAUGUCUUUAAUGACCUCCUUAAGGAUUACCUCAGGAGGCUACUAACGUGCUGUCUGUAUCUUUUAUUUCUUUUCCGUCCUUAUAUGCCACUACAAGCACCCAAUAGCAUUCCAUAGUAGCCCGUAAUUUUUUGCGUAGCCUCCGUCAGAUCCCCCAAUCUAAUAUCUGGACUGGAUUGGGUGGGAACUGGAAUAUUCAUUAUUUUCCGGAAGGCGAGAUUCAGGUGCUCAGCCAACAGAAUUAAAAGAGAUCUGAAAUACGAAAAGUUGAAGAAAAGAUGACUCCAAGAUUCAUUUUCCAGAUUGCAUAGCAAGCAAGCAAGAGGUACCUUGUUUUCAAAUAAAAAGCAGGAGGUACCUGCACUUUCCAACUUCUUAACUUCCUGAACGUGUUUAGGUGAUCCCAUUUCACCCUCCACAAGAAAAAAAAAGAAUUUUGCCAGCAUCUUCGACCAAAUUCUCUCAGCUAACAUGUUUUUAUGGUUUCUAUUUCUAAUACUUUCCACCAUUCUCUCAACUGGCUUAUCGGAGUACCAAAUCUCCACACAAUCGUACUAUUGGUCCUACAAUCCAAACAUUUAUCCACUAGAUUCCUUUCUGAGAUAAAAGCUUUCCAUAAAUGCGAAUCCACAGUAGACCUGAUUUGAAUAUCAUUAAACGCUUUUCCUUUAAUAUACCUAUCUUGGAUCCAUUUUACAAAAAUAGAAUCACUCUUAUCCCAACACUUUGAGGCUCUUUUAAUAUUAGUUGCAGUGGUGAUAAUAGGUAGGUCUCUAACCCUUAGAUCGCCUUCCGUCUUGGGAAGGACCAUUUGGGCCCAUGGGACCCCUUUCCUUCCUUCCCAUAUAAAUCUAUAAACUAACCUUCUCACCAAUACACUUGGCGCUAUGUAGGCGAGAUAGCGCGCUAUCUCCCCAAAUGCCGGUGCUACGUGCUAUGGCGCAACUCAAACUUUGGAUUACUCUGCCUAAUCCCCCUCUGGCUUUUGAAGGGGGAUGUUGGAGUCCCUUCCAUCAAUACCGAGAAUGAAGCAGAGGAUAUGCAAUUCCAAAUCAAUUUGUAGAAUAUAGGAGAAAAUCCAUACGCUUCAAGAGUGGCAAUUAUAGCCUCCAACUUCUUAACUUCCUGAACGUGUUUAGGUGAUCCCAUUUCACCAUCCACAAGAAAAAAAAAGAAUUUUGCCAGCAUCUUCGACCAAAUUCCCUCAGCUAAUAUAUCUUUAUGCUUUCUAUUUCUAAUACUUUCCACUAUUCCCCCCAACUUCCUUAUCGGAGUACCAGAUUUCCACACAAUCGUACUAUUGGCCCUACAAUCCAAACAUUUAUCCACUAGGUUUCUUUCUGAAUCAAAAGCUUUCCAUAAAUGCGAAUCCACAGUAGGUCUGAUUUGUAUAUCAUUAAACGUCUUUCCUUUAAUAUAGCUAUCUUGGAUCCAUUUUACCAAAAUAGAAUCACUCCUAUCCCAGUGCUUUGAAGUUCUUUUAAUAUUGGUUGCAGUGGUGAUAAUGGGAAGGUCUCUAACCCCUAGACCCCCUUUCGCCUUGGGAAGGACCAUUUGGGCCCACGAGAUCUCUUUCCUUCCUUCCCAUAUAAAUCUAUAAACUAACCUUCUCACCAAUACACUUGGCGCUAUGUAGGCGAGAUAGCGCGCUAUCUCCCCAAGUGCCGGUGCUACGUGCUAUGGCGCAACUCAAACUUUGGAUCACUCUGCCUAAUCCCCCUCUGGCUUUUGAAGGGGGAUGUUGGAGUCCCUUCCAUCAAUACCGAGAAUGAAGCAGAGGAUAUGCAAUUCCAAAUCAAUUUGUAGAAUAUAGGAGAAAAUCCAUACGCUUCAAGAGUGGCAAUU